Molecule: ribosomal RNA, 210 nt
Filed under: uncultured bacterium
Lineage: Bacteria
Description: partial 16S ribosomal RNA
Rfam family: Bacterial small subunit ribosomal RNA
Source: RNAcentral
CAGACUCCUACGGGAGGCAGCAGUGGGGAAUUUGGACAAUGGGGGGCUAACCCUGAUCCGAGCCAUGCCGCGUGAGUGAAGAAGGCCUUCGGGUUGUAAAGCUACUUUCGGCGGGGGUACAAAAACGGCGACCGUCGAAGUAACGGUUGUUAAUGAUGGUACCCGAAGAAGAAGCACCGGCUAACUACGUGCCAGCAGCCGCGGUAAUUC